GUUGGCCUGCGAUUAGCACACACCCAUCCCUGGGAACUGCUAGUCUGGAAAGCGGGGCUGCUUCUCCGGGAUGAGCCCGAGCCCUGCCAAGCCCCUCAAGGCAUUGAAGCUUUAGCUCACCUUAUCCGAAUGGUCAUUGGGCAUCUGGACUUGAGUUAACGACUGAAUUUUUCUGGGAAGCAAGGGACACGUUCUAAAAUAACCCCAGGAUCACUCUCCGAACUUGGCCUGAGUCUAGGCAAGCAGUGUUACUCGGUCGCCUUGAUCUUGGAGCUGCUGUGUACUGGGGACCUCAUACUAGUUGGGUUAACUAUAUUCCCAUUAGCAGUACGCGGGAUCGCAGUACUCGGGACAAGCUGAGUUCAGGUAUUUGGCUGCUAUGAGUAACACGAUCUGGAAAGACAGCGCUAGCAAGGAAUGAGGAGUGAUACAGUGACUGGAGGCUAAGAGAUAAUGUCUGCAAGUCACCUAAAACCAUUGCAGACACAGGGAGAUUGAUGGAUUUGGAGGACUUCUGGUUGUGAAGACUCUGACGAUUGCUAAAGAUGUCUCAAUCUAUCGCCCAAGCUGGACUGCAGUGGUGCAAUCAUGGCCCACUGCAGCCACAACUUCCUGGGUUCAAGUGAUCAUCCCACCUCAGCCUCCUGAGUAGCUGAGACCACAGCUUAGUAACAGUCAUGGACAACAGCAUGCGAAUCUUAGAGCUGUUAUUGGUCGACCUAGCAACCAUGCGGUUCCCAAG
This is a long non-coding RNA of Homo sapiens (human), 742 nucleotides long. RefSeq annotates it as ETNK1 divergent transcript. Lineage: Eukaryota; Metazoa; Chordata; Mammalia; Primates; Hominidae. The transcript is spliced from 4 exons. The record is from RefSeq and is marked validated.